Setaria italica (foxtail millet) is the source of this 930-nucleotide long non-coding RNA. RefSeq lists it as uncharacterized. Lineage: Eukaryota; Viridiplantae; Streptophyta; Magnoliopsida; Poales; Poaceae. The record is from RefSeq and is a predicted model, not a curated record. The transcript is spliced from 2 exons.
AGAGCGAGAGUGAAAAGCCAUGUUGCCAGUACAUGCUAAUUCGAUCCAGUGGGUUACGCUAUUUGUAGGCUAUGAGGUCUUCAGUUCUUGUAGGUGGCUAUGUCCAGGAAAAAAAGGUCAGAAAUUUGGUUAUGUCUUGAAAGAAACGCCAGAGACAGGUUCUGUUUGACGAGUCAAUCUUUGAAAAUUCAUCUCUCGCUAUCACUGUGUGUCUCUUGUCAUCAUUUAUCACUGUGCAAGACAAAACGGCAUCUGAUUUGCUUAGUAAGCUUCUUGGUGGUUCAGCUUCCUCCAUGGAGCCUCCGACAAAACUACUUAAUUUGAUGGGAUUGGUGUUUCUCCUUGCUCCAAUGUGGACUGUGGAGGACAGAAAUACAGAUUCCAAACGAGGUUUGCACUACAAAAACUCAGGGCAAUAGCCAAAGACUCUUCUGAUUUGUGCUAAAUGUAGUUUCUCUGAAUUCAGUCCAUCUUGUGUUUCUCAAUCAUUGCGGAAUCUUGACAAUCCACGGCGAUGAUUUUGUCAGUUUUUCCAGGUCACUGCACAACAUCGCACGUAGUCACCUUCCAUGGUCUCACCAACGUACUAACGGAUGACUAUGCAAUGAUGCUGGUUCUUCUAAUGUGAUAUGCCAUCAGAGUCUUCAGUCUACCUUUGCUUUCUUUGGGACGAAGUAGAAGAAGAAAAGGCUCAGCCUCAUGCUGCAAUAUUCUGUUUCCUUCGAGUUGAAGUAUGACAGGAAAGGUCAUAACCUGAUGCAGUAUACCUUUAUAUAAGAUUAAAAAAGAAAAAUCUGAACUUGUGUCAGGCAUCUUUUCGGUGGGUAAUUAUACAUCACCUGUACUGUGUUUUUUCUUUCUUUCCAGACACACAUGAUAGAUGCAUAUUGUUGCAUUAAGAGGAAGAAUAAUUAAGAGUUUACAAUGCCA